GUUAAAAAGCUCGUAGUUGGAUUUCUGUUGAGAACGGCCGGUCUGGGCUAUGCUCAUGUAUCUGGUUUGAUCUCGGCAUCCUCUCAAAAUACGUUUCUGCGCUUGAUUGCGUGGAGCGGAGUUUGGGACUUUUACUUUGAGGAAAUUAGAGUGUUCACGGCAGGCAAUCGCCUUGAAUAUAUUAGCAUGGAAUAAUAAUAUAGGAUUUAGGUUCUAUUUUGUUGGUUUCUAGAGCCUUUGUAAUGAUUAAUAGGGACAAUUGGGGGCAUUCGUAUUAACGCGUCAGAGGUGGAAUUCUUGGAUUGCGUUACGACGAACUACUGCGAAAGCAUUUGCCAAGGAUGUUUUCAUUGAUCAAGAACGAAAGUAAGGGGAUCGAAGACGAUUAGAUACCGUCGUAGUCUUUACCAUAAACUAUGCCAACUAGAGAUGGGGUGUCGUUCUUUUCUGACUCACUCCGCACCUUAUGAGAAAUCAAAGUUUCUGGGUUCCGGGGGGAGUAUGGUCGCAAAGCUGAAACUUAAAGGAAUUGACGGAAGGGCACCACCAGGAGUGGAGCCUGCGGCUUAAUUUGACUCAA
This 580-nucleotide ribosomal RNA is filed under the name uncultured marine eukaryote. Its description in RNAcentral is "SSU rRNA". It matches the Rfam family "Eukaryotic small subunit ribosomal RNA", at positions 618 to 1203 of the family's 1831-position model. The record is from RNAcentral.